This 68-nucleotide transfer RNA is filed under the name Petrosaltator rozeti (North African sengi). RNAcentral's name for it is "tRNA-Trp". Lineage: Eukaryota; Metazoa; Chordata; Mammalia; Macroscelidea; Macroscelididae. The record is from RNAcentral.
AGGAGCUUAGGUUAGCUAAAGACCAAGGACCUUCAAAGUCCUAAGCAAGUGUAGACACUUAACUCCUG